Non-coding RNA from Chiloscyllium plagiosum (whitespotted bambooshark), 485 nucleotides. The record is from RefSeq and is a predicted model, not a curated record. NCBI's taxonomy places the organism in Eukaryota, Metazoa, Chordata, Chondrichthyes, Orectolobiformes, Hemiscylliidae.
GUUCCAAAAUCUGCCAUGAUGGGAUUCAAACACGGGUCCCCAGAAUGUUACCUGGGUCUCUGGAUUAACUGUCGAGCGAUAAUUUCACUCCGUCAUCACUGCCACUUAGGAAAUGAGGCAAUAUACCAGUGAUCAAUGCCAAAGCCCCAUUACUUGUUGGGAAGGUGAUGUUUGACUUCCUGUACAGCUGCAAUUCGUGUGGUGAAGGUGCUCCCACAAUGUGGUUGAAGACAGGGCUCCAGUGCCUGCAUGAGGACUGCAACUCCCAAAUUCCGAAGCAGGGACCACACGUCUGUGGGGAAACCUGGCACUGCACAAGUACAGAUUGUGGGUGAGUUUUGGAGCAUGUGCUUUGUGGUAACGAGUGGAAAGUAUUUCACACUGUGAUUGUCUGGAGUAGGAACGUAUUUGCUUGUAGUAUUGAUUUGUUGGAGGGUCAAAGUGUCACCACACCCACAUGGGACCAAGUUACAUUGCCAACUUAU